This 692-nucleotide ribosomal RNA is filed under the name Escherichia coli. RNAcentral's name for it is "partial 23S ribosomal RNA". It matches the Rfam family "Bacterial large subunit ribosomal RNA", at positions 2190 to 2876 of the family's 2925-position model. Lineage: Bacteria; Pseudomonadati; Pseudomonadota; Gammaproteobacteria; Enterobacterales; Enterobacteriaceae. The record is from RNAcentral.
CCUUGAAAUACCACCCUUUAAUGUUUGAUGUUCUAACGUUGACCCGUGAUCCGGGUUGCGGACAGUGUCUGGUGGGUAGUUUGACUGGGGCGGUCUCCUCCUAAAGAGUAACGGAGGAGCACGAAGGUUGGCUAAUCCUGGUCGGACAUCAGGAGGUUAGUGCAAUGGCAUAAGCCAGCUUGACUGCGAGCGUGACGGCGCGAGCAGGUGCGAAAGCAGGUCAUAGUGAUCCGGUGGUUCUGAAUGGAAGGGCCAUCGCUCAACGGAUAAAAGGUACUCCGGGGAUAACAGGCUGAUACCGCCCAAGAGUUCAUAUCGACGGCGGUGUUUGGCACCUCGAUGUCGGCUCAUCACAUCCUGGGGCUGAAGUAGGUCCCAAGGGUAUGGCUGUUCGCCAUUUAAAGUGGUACGCGAGCUGGGUUUAGAACGUCGUGAGACAGUUCGGUCCCUAUCUGCCGUGGGCGCUGGAGAACUGAGGGGGGCUGCUCCUAGUACGAGAGGACCGGAGUGGACGCAUCACUGGUGUUCGGGUUGUCAUGCCAAUGGCACUGCCCGGUAGCUAAAUGCGGAAGAGAUAAGUGCUGAAAGCAUCUAAGCACGAAACUUGCCCCGAGAUGAGUUCUCCCUGACUCCUUGAGAGUCCUGAAGGAACGUUGAAGACGACGACGUUGAUAGGCCGGGUGUGUAAGCGC